RNAcentral lists this ribosomal RNA (300 nucleotides) under uncultured bacterium. RNAcentral describes it as "bacterial SSU rRNA". It matches the Rfam family "Bacterial small subunit ribosomal RNA", at positions 338 to 655 of the family's 1533-position model. The record is from RNAcentral.
CCUACGGGACGCAGCAGUGGGGAAUAUUGCACAAUGGGGGAAACCCUGAUGCAGCGACGCCGCGUGAGUGAAGAAGUAAUUCGUUAUGUAAAGCUCUAUCAGCAGGGAAGAAAAUGACGGUACCUGAGUAAGAAGCCCCGGCUAACUACGUGCCAGCAGCCGCGGUAAUACGUAGGGGGCAAGCGUUAUCCGGAUUUACUGGGUGUAAAGGGAGCGUAGACGGUAUGGCAAGUCUGAUGUGAAAACCCGGGGCUCAACCCCGGGACUGCAUUGGAAACUGUCGGAUUAGAGUGUCGGAGA